GGCACGGGUUAAAAAAGGCCUAGUUGAUGGUAUCGGCGUAAAAGUGGUUAAGGGCAUGUUUAAACUAAAGCCAAAUGCUUACACGGCUGUUAUACGCAUCCGAAAGUAAGAAGCCCCCCUACGAAAGUGGCUUUAACCCACCUGACCCCACGAAAGCUGCGAAACAAACUGGGAUUAGAUACCCCACUAUGAUG
This 194-nucleotide ribosomal RNA is filed under the name Strongylura strongylura (spottail needlefish). Its description in RNAcentral is "partial 12S ribosomal RNA". Lineage: Eukaryota; Metazoa; Chordata; Actinopteri; Beloniformes; Belonidae. The record is from RNAcentral.